This is a long non-coding RNA of Rattus rattus (black rat), 1748 nucleotides long. RefSeq lists it as uncharacterized. The transcript is spliced from 3 exons. The record is from RefSeq and is a predicted model, not a curated record. Lineage: Eukaryota; Metazoa; Chordata; Mammalia; Rodentia; Muridae.
GAAGGGGGCGGGCAGAGGUCCUCUGCUCCCGGGCCCGGCGGGAACAAACUGCCGCGGUGGCGGGAGCUAAGCUCGCUUGGCUGGAGGCGGGUCAUCCUUCUUCUCGCAGCUCCCGCAACCCGGUGGCUCCCUGGAGCCACCACCUUCAGUGCGCUCAGUUGCUGGGACUCAAGGCUUAUGCCAGUGCAGCUGCAGUUGGUGGUGGCAAUGGCUAGAAACCUCCUCUCCUCCUCUCCCCAAGGCGGCGCCCGGGCCACCCGAGCCGAAGCGCGGAUGGAUCGCGAGUGAAUCGAGACGCCCAGACCGACGCCACGGACAAGAACCUACUGGAGGCCAAGCGGGUUCCGGCCGGCUAGAGGAGAGAGUGAUCCGGAGGAACAAACUGGAACAAACUUGGCUCCCGCAGAUGCUACUCAGAGAGGCUCCAGCUCCGUGUUCAGCCUCUGGGAGGACUGACUAAAGCGUUUGUCUCUCAGAUCUCCUUGAAGGCUCCACGCAAAACAGGGCCAGCUCUUGCUGCCCUCCGCUGCAUCCUACAGCCCAUUCGCUGAGACUGAAGCUCCGGCUGGAAAAAGCAGUCAAGAAGCCCUGGCUUCUACUCUUUGGGGCCAUUAGUGAGGCAUGUCCUUCAGGGAUCAUCCAAACUUAACACCAACAAGAAUGGAAAGAAAGGGCCAGGGCAGGAUAUUGCUUGCCAGGUUUUUGAGGUGUUCUACGUUAUACCCCACCCGUCCCAGAACUCUUCUCUUUACCCAAAUAACUGCUUUCCGGGACCCUCCCCCUCGCCUAGGGGGAGCUGGUCUUUGCUUAAGGCCCAGCAGCCUCCAUCUGUCUCACUGCUUAGCCACCCAGCUUGAGCAGCCUGGAACAAUUGAGAAGAUGCUCCAAGGAGACGGUGUGUCUAUGCCGGGCCUUACAUCCCAAAAUGUUUUUAUAACUGGCCAGGAGUUGUGUCUGUUGUGAAGUAUGUGUGGUUCCUACUGGCUUCCAAGCCAUCUACCUCUCCAGCUUCUCUUAAGAAAGAGCCCCACAGGGAAGCCAUUUUUAUGGAUCUGGAAAGGAAAAGCUCUCCCGGGAUCAUAUGGCUACGUUUAAGUCAGUGGCAAAACUGCUAAGGUACUGAGCUGCUGACGCAGAAGUGUGUCCCUUGACUCAGAAGAACAUAGCCUGAAGUCUUAGAAUCUGGAGCUCAAAGAGCAGCCUGGCAGACCCCAGGCACUUCUAGGCCGUGGAAAGAGGGAGGAGCUAAGCCGAGCAUACCGUGUUCAUGCACUUUUACAAAUUCGUUUACCAACAGGCUAACCUUGGAGAAAGCUGCAGAGCCAAUGCCAGCCCCCUCCCCUGCUCCAAGAGGCCACAGCCCCGUUUUGAGAUUAAAAACAACAAAAAAAAACAGCAAAAAACAACAACAACAACAACAAAAACCAAAACAAAACCACGGCUGCAGCUGCUACAACUCCCAUCUCUAAACCUGCUUUGGAAUCUAAGCUUCCCUUGGCUGGAUUUGGAGGUAGAGACCUGAUUCUAUGCCCACAAAGGUGGGCGUAAGAUGACUGGGAUUCCAGUGUUUGCACCAUCAUUUCAGCAGCCCAAGCCCAGCAGCCUCUGCUCUAUCCCACAGCUAGGAUGACACCCUUUUCCUCUGGUUUCAUCAAUGCUGGCCAAGGACCUCUCUAUUCUCAAAGUAGUGGGAGUCUUGCUUAAGCACCUAUAACCUACUUGGCGGCGGCGGCGGCGGCGGCGGCGGC